This 253-nucleotide ribosomal RNA is filed under the name uncultured bacterium. RNAcentral describes it as "partial 16S ribosomal RNA". It matches the Rfam family "Bacterial small subunit ribosomal RNA", at positions 524 to 776 of the family's 1533-position model. The record is from RNAcentral.
UACGUAGGGACCAAGCGUUGUUCGGAUUUACUGGGCGUAAAGGGCGCGUAGGCGGCUUAACAAGUCACUUGUGAAAUCUCCGGGCUUAACUCGGAACGGCCAAGUGAAACUGUCAAGCUAGAGUGCAGAAGGGGCAAUCGGAAUUCUUGGUGUAGCGGUGAAAUGCGUAGAUAUCAAGAGGAACACCUGAGGUGAAGACGGGUUGCUGGGCUGAUACUGACGCUGAGGCGCGAAAGCUAGGGUAGCAAACGGG